GAAGCCGCGCGCUUCCCUCCCCAUGUGCCACGGCCCAGGGCGGCAGGCCCGGCUGAGGGCGACCCCGGUGGAGAAAGAACCCCGACCCUCCCGCCUCCCGGCUCCCGCCUUGUCCUCCGCUCCCACGCCCCACCCGGCCCUUAGGGGAGGCGCGGCGCGGCCCGGGCAUGGAGCGUCCCGGGCCCCUGGAGGCUCAGUGGAGGGUUGGGCUCCAGGGAGCUCAGAGCUCUCUCGUUCAGGGACCCGAGAGUGACACGCGUGGCAUCUCUUUGCAACCCACGUCCGCGCCGCAGCACCCUCCCCUGCAGGUGCCUGCCCAGCCCCGGGAUGCCCCUGACCUCCCCUUGGACAGACUGCAGAAAGCGCGGGGCGCUGCGUCCUCUCCACCUCUCUCUGACCCCAGACACAUUGGGAGAGAGCGGUAGGUGGCGGGGCGCUGGGGUGGGACGCUGGGGGCAGGCGCGCAGCCCACCGCCUCCCUGAGAGGCCGCUGAGGACAGCGGGGAGCUGAGGGUGGUCCCCUGGUGGGGGAUCAGGAGGUGGACCUCGCCACCUGGCUGCCUGUGGCCCUCUCCUUUGCCCCAACCCUGACUGCCUCUCAGGAACAACCACAGGUCAGCAAGGUGGCUGAAUAUUGAGGGUCAGUCCCGCUGUGGCUACGGGCAGAGGGCAGGCUGUGUCCAUGCUCAGCCCUGACUCUGGCCCUCUGGGACACCUUGGUGGGUCUGAGACGUUGCUGCAGGCCGUGGGGCAGAAGCCAGGAGGAGUGUCCACGCAGCCUCAGCCCGUGGGAAUCCAGCCUGCCUCCAUUACUGCCGUCACCGGCUCCACCUUCGGAGAACAUCUCAGCAUCCAGCCUCCUUCCUCUGCCUCCUCUCAGGCCUCUGCCGUUCCCAUGCAGGGCAGGCCAAACUGUUUUCACAGCAUGGAAAGUUAUGUGAGGGAAGCCACACCGGCCGCAGAUACAGGCACCAGCACAUCCACUCGCAUGCACACUCACGGCUGUGGCCCGCGGCAGAUGGAGGCCCGCUCUGCCUUGUCUGUCCCUCAGUAGUGUGCGAUGACAGCACACCUGUGGGGGCCCUGCAGCUGGGAAGACUGCAGCGAGGCUCAACUCAGAGGCCCCUGCUCAGGAGCAUGGCUGAGUCACACCCCAGGGAGAAGGUGCCCCGGACAGGUGUGGCCAGCACGUCUUGCCAAGACCCCACCACCCCACCCACCCGCAUCUGUGGCCUUCUGGAACCGAGCUGUGGCCUGGGGUUCCAUGGAGCAGGUGGGGCGCGGAGGAACUGAGCUGUGGCCUGGGGUUCCGUGGAGCAGGUUGAGUAUGGAGGAACUGGGGUUCCGUGGAGCAGGUGGGGCGCAGAGGAACCGAGCUGUGGAAUGGGGUUCCGUGGAGCAGGUUGAGUGUGCCGGUCGUGGACGGGUCGUGGGCGGGACUCCCCAGUGUGUCACCACUGAGGCAUCUUCGCCCUCUUACGUGUCUCUGUUUCUCUCUCUAGAAGUCCAACACCUCCGAGAGGACUCAAAACACAGAGUGACCAGCUCCUAUGUGCAUUUCCUGG
Molecule: long non-coding RNA, 1565 nt
Filed under: Homo sapiens (human)
Lineage: Eukaryota; Metazoa; Chordata; Mammalia; Primates; Hominidae
Description: HSALNT0289704
Source: RNAcentral